UUGAGAUCUUCUUUCCCCUUUUUGAUUGUAGCGCUCUCUGUGUGUCUCUCUCUCACUCGCGCACGCACCAAACCGCUCGGAUGCUUCAGGACCGGCCACUUUGCGAGGGGAACAACACGGGAGGGUUUGUAUUACUCCAGCCCAGGUUUCAGGCAGGUUAGAUGCUUGCCUCACACGCCAACCCCCAAGCAGAGAGAUUGGAGUAUGUUACCGCGGAGUUAAAGUCUAACUCCUCUGCAGCACGGUGAGGUUCCAGAAUCACUCUCCUUGCAGUCAUAAAGCUAGGAAGUGCAAUCACCAGGCAUGUGGUCCUGACCUCAGUCUGAGGAUCCUUGGCCUAGAGUCAAGCAGUCGCUGCAGUUACCGAAACAGCCAAAUUAACUGUCUGCUUAGCCAUGGAUUAAAAUUCAUCCACUGAUCCAAGACAGUCCUUUUAUGAUACUAUCUGGAUUCAUACUGUUUUUCUAGGAAGAGAGAAAACAUAUCUCAGUGCAAUCCAAAAGUGCUCUUCCGUGCCUUUGACUCUGUUUAAAAGAUGUACCACUUUUGUUUUUUUUUGCAAGUGUUACUGUAUAAUCAUCAGGCUGCUGGUGAAGGGAAACACUUAAGAUCCAUAUACACUAAUGUGAAAAUGGCUAGUGUAAUGAUGAAGAGAAAAUUGCUAGGAUAAAACAAAACGCAAUGCAGAAAUGCACCCAUACCAUGUGCAGGGUAAAAUCCCACAGAUGACUAACAUACUGGCAAAAGCAUUCAUAUUCACAUGAAUGUUAUCCCUGUAAAAGUGCCAAGUGCACCAAGAUGUUGUGUAGAAGUUCUGGUCAUGUAAGGUAAAGCUUCCCAGAGGCACCCUUUAAUUGGUCUAAUUUUCCCUGCCAAACACCAUCAAAGUUCUAGAUGUUCAGGCCAGGUCUUGUCACUUUAUUAUUUCAUCACUUUUUGGAUUACCUACUCUCAGCAAAAAUGCUCUCAAACAUAUUUGCUGCCUCUAUGUUUCUCUCCCCUUUGCAUGCAUGUACACAAACACACCUCCUUCCGUAAGAGCCUUGGUAAACCCUUACAAAAUAAAGGAAAAUAAUGGAGCUGGAACUACUAUUCAACUCCGUAAGGUAAACGGCUGUCCAGAUACUUUUAAAUUUCAAGGGCAGGCAUAGGAAAUCUUCCCAGCACAUUAGAAACAGAGUCCGCUCUAUUUCUUUUUAAUUUCCAGCCUUUUUGAGGAAAAACACACACACACAAAAACAAAUUCCAAGAGAAAUAAAAAAGUAAAACACAACACAACAAUUCAAGCUGUGUUCCAUAUGCUGCUUCUUACUCCCUGUGUAGAUACGUAGGAAAUACAUGGAGUUAGGUUAGCACAAGCAUUUCUGGGAAAGUUGUUAUUAAAGGGAAGGCAACUGCUAAAGUCAGUUCAUGAAAUGACUGAGACGAGUACUGCACUCAAUGAAUAGGCUGUUUUCCAUAGUAGUAAUACAAAAAAUCAUGCCAGCGUGGGAUGACUCACCACAAAUAGGUGGGUUUGACUCUUGGCUCUGACAUUGACUUAUUGCAUGGCCUUAGGCAAAUCCCGAAACAUUUGUUUUUACUUCUCCAUUUAUGUGAUUUGAAUAAUACUUCUAUACCUGAAGGGGAUAUUUUAAGAUACAAUAUGUUUAAGAUACUACAAAGAUUUUAAAUGCUAUAACAUAGCUACGCCUCAUUAACAACGUCAGGGUAAAAUAAACACUGGGAUGAUUUAGGUAAUGUGGUACAUGUUCCUGGAACUGAGAACUUCGCUGAACAAAGAGCAAAAUCUUCAAAGAGCCAGAAGUAAGGGAAGGUACAGCCCAUUGCAAAGCUGAAGUACUUUGCAAGGGUGGAUGAAUUUAUAGGGAAGGAAAAACAAGUUUGUUUAAUAGGCAAAAGUUCAGUCUUCAUUAAUUAUUUAAGUGGUUAGGCAGAAAAGCAACACACACUCAGGUGUGGGUGAAGAAAACAAAAAACAUAGGCCUCAGUUCUCCAUGUGUAUUGAAGCUAGAGAGGAUUUUGCAAGGGUGAGACCUGACAGUUUGUUUUUGUUGCCUAUAUAGUAUGAAAACUGUAGUACCAAAAGAGAUCCCCUCCAUGUGAAUCUUCCUCUCCUGUUAGGAAGGGGAGAUACCUUCACUGAAACAGCAAAAAGUGCUCUGCAGGGCUCACCAGGACUUCAUCAUGCAAAAAGGAUGGCUCUUAUCCUGGUGAACUUUCCAGCAGGGGAGAAGGCCAAGCUCAGUGACAGAAGGGUUGGAAACUCUGCAAAAAGAGACGGGCCCCAGAAAAGUCCCUGGAUAGAGAUUCUGUGGUAUGUUAACUGGAUUGAACUGAUGCUAUCAGGAGGCAGGAGCAAGGCUUGCAGCACAGACUGAAGUGAGGGGGCCCAGACCUCUGCCUAGGGACUGUGGGCCUGUCACCAGUGUCCUUAAAUACUGCUCAGAACAGAAGGGAUGCAUUUCUGGGCUAACCCAGAGAGAGGCAACUCCAACCCACAGCAUAUCAGAUAGGAAAAUACAACAGCAUUAGAACUUCUGAGAUUUUCUUCCUUUUUUGUUUUCUCUAAGCUAUUUUUCCAUACUUGGGACCUUAGUUAAAAACUGUACUCUUAAAAGAAUGGUGAUGGGAAGCCUGAUAGCAUAGAGAAUGGUAUAAAAGUAUGUGAAAUUGGGUUAAGUGCUAUACAGGUAGGAGGGAGAAGCUCGAGCUGAGUGAGGAUGAAGAGAAGAAGCUGAAGUGGAUGUUGUUAAAGUGAGGGAGGAUGGAAGAAGAGAGACAUACCUUCAGCGGUGGUCAGUGGCAGGGAAUGGGUAAAACAGUAAAGUUUGAAAUACUAAGAAGUGAGACAGUCAGUGCCAAGAUCUACUUUUUCGUUAGAUGUUAUUCUUUUGGUAUUUCAGUAAACCCGAGAACACAAGUCGAGUGGCCUGACCUUGAGUGGGUUGUGAUCUAGACAGGACCUCCAGCUGCUGGAGAUAAACUUUGGUCCUUUUCACUGGUUUGGCAGGAAAGGACCAGGAAUCUGCCCAGUCUCCAGCCCAGCUCAGGUUAUUUUCACAGCAAGAAGCCCUGACUGUGAUCUCUGAGACUGCUCAGUGAUACAAAUCUAAAUGCUGUCUGUGGAGAGAUCUGGGAGACUUGCCUCCAAAGAGCAGUUUUAGUCCUGGACCCAUUCAAAUAGUGCAGUAUGUAUGAAUGGGGCAGGCUGGACUUGCCUCAUGUCAAAAUCAAGGUAAUUUUGAAGUUGCCAGUAUAGGCUACUCCUUGGUAGAUGUUACUGAAUGGGGCAGUAGCUGUACUUCAGACACUACAACUAUUUAUCUGUCAUAUUUACUGCUUAUGACUACUCUAAAUGUAGGUACUGACUCAAGAAUGCAGUUCAAGAUCCUAAUGUAUUUCUGGAUAUAGAACAGUUUCCUGUACCAGAAAAGAGAUCAGUUUACAAACUGGAAAUACUUUUAAGUACUUCAUUGAUAGACAUCAUUUGAGAGACACAAAAUCAAAUUCAUAUUAAACUAACAAAGCUGAUACAUUUUUACUACAUCUGCAGACCACAGAACACUUUGCUUUCAAGAAAAAUUGAAUAAAUCACAGAGCUUUCUUAAGGAGACUUCUCCCCUUGUCUUCAGAAAGUCCUUAAUGUGACAUCUGUCCCUGCACUGUCACCUCUUUUAAAACUAACAAAUGCAUGACAUAUAAUACAAGAUUUAUAAAUUAAAGAAACCCACCCCUUUUAAGUAAUAUUCUUUAAAUCUCGGUUUCUGACAGUCCUCCUAUUUGCUCAGUAACUGUAAUAGGCGUAUUUUUCAGAAAAUAGUGAAUAAAAACUGACAAGCCAUCGGGAGAAUCUGAAUGCAUAAUUGAUAGGGGCAUAAAUUAAUAUGAUUAGGCCUUUAUUGGGUGCCACUGCUGCCAAACCUACAAAAGGGGCAUGGAAUAAAACAUGGCUAUGUUCUCAGGGCUGAUAGACAUCAAUAUGUAAUGCAUAUUAUCUCAAGCCUUCUCAUGUAGUCUGCUUAUGACAGCACUCAACCUAAUUGAAAUUUUUAUCUUUCUGUUGCAUACAGACAGUUUUGACUAGCUGCUUCCAGGGAAAAGAGAGAAAUCCAAAUGACCCAAACGAAGGUUUCUCUGUAGAGGUAUAUACCCUUCUCGCAAAUCACUUUAAAAUGGCUUUCUACUUUCUGGUUUUCUAAAGCCAUCUUCAGAAAGCAGCAUGAAAGACAUCGCAGGACUUGGUUUGCCUCUCCCCCUUUUAACUAAGCUUAACAGUGCAUUUCCCUAAAAGAAAUAAAAGAAUCUAAAAAUUUCUUCACAAAAAUCAAUACACUGUAUGCUCACUUCAGCUGAGGCUUCAUUUUGCUACAGUUCUUCAUGCUGCACACAUAUAGUUUAGGAAGAAAUAGUUUUCCUAUUCAUUAUGCAUUUUUUAAUACUAUCCCCUCCCUGACCUGUGAGGAAAAAGUUAAAAAAUGAAGAACAGUUUCUUGAACUGACAUCCAUAAUCUCUGUCCAAAAAAUGUUGGUCAGCUGGCACAACAUCUAUUUCAUCUGGAUAGUACAUUUUUUAAAACUUUUUUCCUUUUCAGUUCUUUUUAACUAUGAAUUCACACACUGUGAAAUGAAAUGCCAUUCCAAAAACACGUUACUUGUCAGUUAUAAAAUGUUUCAAACAUUUCCUUUAGAUGAGAACUUAAUGAAUAUACACUUUUCCUAAAGGGUUUUUGCUUUGACAAGCCAAAGCUAAUUAGAAGUUCCACAUUUAAUGUUUUGCUCCUUAUUGAAAAGUUCUGUACUGCAGGAGUGUUCCUGAGAAUGCAUGCUGCCAUUACUAAAUAUUUUUAUUACAACAGUGCUGGAUGUUGUACAAAUAAGAUAAGGAGUCAGUUUCUGCUCUGUUGUUUGCAGUCUAGAAUGGGAUUAUCUCUGGAGUAAGAUGCAUUUAACCUAUAAAAAUCAACACAGAAGGUGCAGAAACAGGUCCAACACCUCAUUUCUGGCUUUACUGAAACUCACUUCCUAAGAUAAAGGGAAUAAAUCUUAAAAAAUAUAUUUAUUUAAAUUUAAAUUUAUUUAUUUAUGGAAAUAUUUAAAAGCCCACAUAUUUCGUUUGAUAAAUACAAAUCAUGUUAUUGGUUAUUUUUAUGCUGUAACACAAAGACAGUAUAGCUAAAAGAUGCCUUUCUUCUCUUAAUGGUCAUUUUUUCAUUCUUCUAACUCCUCAGUACAUUAUCAUAAACCAUAGGGCAUCCAUAAAUAUGAAGAGGCCACAUGUUCUGUAGAUUAAAGAAUGACACAGACUUUGGCAAGAUCCACAUUCCUGCACCUGUUACAUCAAGUAAUUUAUUUAUUUCAGAGGCUAUAGAGCACUCCUACACUCAUUUUAUAUCUGCUACUGGUAGUUGCAAGUUCAAGACAUCUAAAAACUGGUAUGAUUCCCUUUACAUUUCUGUAUUACGUACGUUUAGGGGACACCUAGUGAGAGUUUGGACCUGGGGAAUGGACAAUGAGAACUCAUGAACCUUCCCUCAAACACCUUGGGAAACUCCAAGUCAUUUUUGUCCUAGUAUGAAUUUGACAUAUAAAUGACGUUAUAAUGAAAGACUACUAGAUACCUACUGCUGCAUGGUUUUGGUGCUAUUCAUUCUUACUUUGGUGCUUGCUUGAAAAGGUAUCCAUGUGGACCCUUGUUUAUCAAGGACCUGGAGAUGAUUUGAGGCUGUAGAGAUUUAAGGUCUGGAACCUUAAAUUGUUUUACUGAUUUUAUUCUGUGUAGCUUCUAUUUAUUUAUUUAUUGUGUGU
This is a long non-coding RNA of Anas platyrhynchos (mallard), 5808 nucleotides long. RefSeq lists it as uncharacterized. NCBI's taxonomy places the organism in Eukaryota, Metazoa, Chordata, Aves, Anseriformes, Anatidae. The record is from RefSeq and is a predicted model, not a curated record.